CUCUCGCUUCUCUCCUUCAUUUUUCUGAAGUUCCUGUCUCUCUCUAACUCUCUCUAACUCUCACUCUCUACAGAGCUCCGAGAGCUCUCGUCCCCUUUCCUCUUCGAAUUUAAACAAACCAAACUCCAAAACCAUGAAACCUUAAUUUCUGGCGCUAGAGGAUCCUAGCUAUACCGUUGCAUGCGUCAUUGGAUCAUCACGGUGUAAACCAUCAUUGAAGCCGAGAGCUUCAAGCUCUGAAACUCGAACCCAGGUGAGGUUCUCUAUGAAAAUCUUGUUUCAUUAUGUUUUAAUGUUGCUUGGGACAAGAUUUGUGGUGUUUUCCAGUUCGAAACCAGAGGUUCAACCCCCCUGCAAUUUCUCUGAAACCUUGCCCAGUUUUUUGUCACCUCCUCCGAGCAAACUCCGGCAAGUUUGUGGGUUCUGGAGCUCGUGCUCAGUUUGAAUCCAUUCCAGAAUCCGGCGAAGAAACCUGGCCCUUGUAGGCGAUUUUCCGGCCAAAUGCAACCACGGACGAGAACCCCAAUGGUACAAACUUAUUUUGUUUGCCGAAUGACAAGGCUUAUCGAGAGCAAGCAAGCUAUGGUUAUGAUUUUAGUGGCAAAGGUUUCAUGAUGAUGAGGAUUGCCGGUAAAAGCUAUCAUGUAGGAGACUUCUCCUUUCGGUAUAAAUGUCAUUACUCUUAUUUUACUGCAAUUUAUCUAUACUCUGACAUCACUUGUGUGAUAUUGGUUCAAUUAUGCACGCAUGCGCAUUCUAAAUUAGUCACUUUUAGGUUUUAAUUUAUUCAUUUUUUCUAUAUCACUAUACUUUAUGAUUUCGUCUUAUUCUAGGUGUCGGUCAACACAUCACGAUUCAAUUGGUUUGGAUAGUUAAAAUUUUCCAUACUUCAAAAACGACAAAAAAUAAGAAGAAAUUUUUCAGUGUGCCGAUAACACACUCUCUGGUACAUUGAAAAAUCUCUCAAAAACAAGGGUUUUAUGCAGAGUGGUCUUAGAGCUUCACGAGAGAUUCCAUCAAACAAAUAUAUAUGCAGGUAUCUCCCAAACAGUACCGGUCCCAACAUCAAAGGGGAAGCUUCAAAACUUAGUAGAGGCGGUACGGUACAACUGCUUGGCAAACCUGAAGAUGUUAAAUAUUCCAACAGGAAAAGUUUGAUCAUAUAUCCCAGAUCCUCUCUUAUUUUCAUUAUCCGGACAAUCCCAUCUCUAGAAGCUUGCUUCAUUGCCCAAAUAUAAUCCAGCAGCUUCUGCUAACCUCACCUUUUUCCUCUCACUGAAAGGAUACGAUGUCUUGUGUCA
Long non-coding RNA from Malus domestica (apple), 1301 nucleotides. RefSeq lists it as uncharacterized. NCBI's taxonomy places the organism in Eukaryota, Viridiplantae, Streptophyta, Magnoliopsida, Rosales, Rosaceae. The record is from RefSeq and is a predicted model, not a curated record.